UCAUACGCUCGUCUCAAAGAUUAAGCCAUGCAUGUCUAAGUAUAAAUCUGUUACUUUGAAACUGCGAACGGCUCAUUAUAUCAGUUAUAGUUUAUUUGAUAGUCCCUUACUACUAGGAUAACCGUAGUAAUUCUAGAGCUAAUACAUGCGUCAACACCUUUGGGUGGUAUUUAUUAGAAAGAAACCAACCCCUUCGGGGUGAUGUGGUGAAUCAUAAUAAGUUUGCGAAUCGCACGGCUUUAUGCUGGCGAUGGAUCAUUCAAGUUUCUGCCCUAUCAGCUUUGGAUGGUAGGGUAUUGGCCUACCAUGGCUUUAACGGGUAACGGGAAAUUAGGGUUUGAUUCCGGAGAGGGAGCCUGAGAGAC
Molecule: ribosomal RNA, 365 nt
Filed under: Fragilaria bidens
Lineage: Eukaryota; Bacillariophyta; Fragilariophyceae; Fragilariales; Fragilariaceae
Description: SSU rRNA
Rfam family: Eukaryotic small subunit ribosomal RNA
Source: RNAcentral